RNAcentral lists this ribosomal RNA (451 nucleotides) under uncultured bacterium. Its description in RNAcentral is "partial 16S ribosomal RNA". It matches the Rfam family "Bacterial small subunit ribosomal RNA", at positions 29 to 523 of the family's 1533-position model. The record is from RNAcentral.
AGCGAACGCUGGCGGCAGGCUUAACACAUGCAAGUCGAGCGGGCGUAGCAAUACGUCAGCGGCAGACGGGAGAGUAACACGUGGGAACGCGCCCUUCGGUUCGGAAUAACUCAGGGAAACUUGAGCUAAUACCGGAUACGCCCUAACGGGGAAAGAUUUAUCGCCGAAGGAACGGCCCGCGUCGGAUUAGCCAGUUGGUGAGGUAAUGGCUCACCAAGGCGACGAUCCGUAGCUGGUCUGAGAGGAUGGCCAGCCUCACUGGGACUGAGACACGGCCCAGACUCCUACGGGAGGCAGCAGUGGGGAAUAUUGGACAAUGGGCGCAAGCCUGAUCCAGCCAUGCCGCGUGGAUGAUGAAGGCCUUAGGGUUGUAAAGUCCUUUUAACGGGGAAGAUAAUGACGGUACCCGUAGAAUAAGCCCCGGCUAACUUCGUGCCAGCCGCCGCGGUAA